UACGUAGGGUGCGAGCGUUAAUCGGAAUUACUGGGCGUAAAGCGUGCGCAGGCGGUUCUCCAAGUCCGGUGUGAAAGCCCCGGGCUCAACCUGGGAAUGGCAGUGGAAACUAGGGGACUUGAAUCUGGCAGAGGGGGGUGGAAUUCCACGUGUAGCAGUGAAAUGCGUAGAGAUGUGGAGGAACACCGGUGGCGAAGGCGGCAUCCUGGACCAACACUGACACUGAGGAGCGAAAGCCAGGGGAGCAAACGGG
RNAcentral lists this ribosomal RNA (253 nucleotides) under uncultured bacterium. RNAcentral's name for it is "partial 16S ribosomal RNA". It matches the Rfam family "Bacterial small subunit ribosomal RNA", at positions 524 to 776 of the family's 1533-position model. The record is from RNAcentral.